RNAcentral lists this ribosomal RNA (278 nucleotides) under Troglocharinus orcinus. RNAcentral's name for it is "partial 28S ribosomal RNA". It matches the Rfam family "Eukaryotic large subunit ribosomal RNA", at positions 867 to 1113 of the family's 3401-position model. Lineage: Eukaryota; Metazoa; Arthropoda; Insecta; Coleoptera; Leiodidae. The record is from RNAcentral.
AUGGAGGUCCGUAGCGAUUCUGACGUGCAAAUCGAUCGUCGGAACUGGGUAUAGGGGCGAAAGACUAAUCGAACCAUCUAGUAGCUGGUUCCCUCCGAAGUUUCCCUCAGGAUAGCUGGCGCUCAAAUAUGGCGGACAGUCCCUAUACGGGACGCGCAAACUAAAGAGUUUCUUCCGGUAAAGCGAAUGAUUAGAGGCAUUGGGGUCGAAACGACCUCAACCUAUUCUCAAACUUUAANUGGGUGAGAUCUCCGGCUUACUUGAUAAUCGAUAUUAAU